UUGACUUCGUGAGAGGCUAAGGG
Molecule: microRNA, 23 nt
Filed under: Pristionchus pacificus
Lineage: Eukaryota; Metazoa; Nematoda; Chromadorea; Rhabditida; Neodiplogasteridae
Description: ppc-miR-8229b-3p
Source: miRBase by way of RNAcentral